This 501-nucleotide ribosomal RNA is filed under the name uncultured eukaryote. RNAcentral describes it as "bacterial SSU rRNA". It matches the Rfam family "Eukaryotic small subunit ribosomal RNA", at positions 21 to 551 of the family's 1831-position model. The record is from RNAcentral.
UAGUGAUAUGCUUGUCUCAAAAAUUAACCCAUGCACGUGUCAGUAUAAGCUUUUAUACGGUGAAACUGCGGAUGGCUCAUUAUUAAACUUUGUAACCUACUGGGCGGGUGUUUACUUGGAUAACCCGAGUAAUUCUCUGGCUAAAAAAUGCGAAAAACCCUUUAUUGGGUUGUAUUUAUUAAAUCUUUACCUACUGAUGAGGUGAGUCACAAUAAGGCAACAAAUCACAUGGGGUAACCCGGCAACAAGCCCUUCUGGCUUAUUCCCUAUCAACUUUCGAUGGUAGGAUAUUUGCCUACCAUGGUGACCACGGGUAACGGGGAAUUAGGGUUUGAUUCCGGAAAGGGAGCCUGAAAAAUGGCUACCACUUCUAAGGAAGGCAGCAGGCGCGCAAAUUACCCAAUCCUGGCGCAGGGAGGUAGUGACAAUACGUACUAAUGUGGGCCUUUGGCUCGCAAUUGAAAUGAGUACAACUUAAACCUGUUAACGAGAACCCAUUGA